AUGCAUAUAUAUACUUUGCAAAUAAAUACUUUGUUUAUGAAAGGUUUUUAGGUAUAUCCAACAAAAAGUCAUCAAAGCAACAAAAAAGUCAAACACAAUCAUCAUAAAAAUUUAAACUAUAUAUAUUUAAUUUUAUGUAAAGUUUGGCGUACGCUUCAAUGCUUUUAAUGAACACGUUUGUUAACGUAGAUUUAAGGUUAUUUUCAAUUAAUAGUUGAUUUAAAAAAUUGUUGAUGAAAGUAGUUGAAGAAAAUUUUUGAUAAAUGUUGAUUAAAGUGAAAGACAAGCAAAGAAAAUUUUCAAGCGAAUAAAAAGUUCUGAUUGGCGGAAAAGGAGUUGCUCAAAGAAAAAAAGAGUCCAGAUCUAGAUUCAGAGGAGUAACAGUAGGGUGAAAUUAAACCAAAAUAAAGCCCUAAGUCAGUCUCAGAUGUAGGUUCUUGUUACGGAAACAAACGAACCGCACAGGCAAGACAUAAUUUCAUCCCGGGUUAUGGUAAGGGUUUUAUUCAUUUCCAAAUAUUGUAAAAAUGUCGAACAACAGUUUUACAACCAUAAUGUUUUAUAAUAGAAUCAUAUUGUAUAAUUAACGUCAGUUGUGCAACGAAAUGUUGUAAAAUAAAGGUUGAGGAAAUAGAAUCAAAUCAAUUUCGGCAACAACUAUUGUACAACAAAUACGACAUUUCUACAACUAUUGGAAACCAAACUUAUAUGAGAAUUUUUUUUAUACGAAUUCGAAGUAUUUAACAAGAACGAGAAAUAAUAAAUUACUUUUGCAACAAUUUAUUAGUAGUAAAUAAAAAAAGGAAUGAAAGUAAAGUAAAAAAUUGCCCCGCAAAUUAUUUGCGGGGCAAAUAAGUUGACAAGUUGACGCAAAUUGUUGGACGAAGUUGACGAACAUAGUUGGACGAAGUUGGCGUAAAUUGUUGGAUGAAGUUAACGUAUAUUGUUGGACGAAGUUGACGUAUAUUUUUGGACGAAGUUGACGUAUAUUGUUGGACGAAGUUGACGUAUAUUUUUGGACGAAGUUGACGUAUAUUGUUGGACGAAGUUGACGCAUAUUAUUGGACGAAGUUGACGUACAUAGUCGGACGAAGUUGGCGUAAAUUGUUGGACGAAGUUAACGUAUAUUGUUGGACGAAGUUGACGUAUAUUGCUGGACAAUGUUGACGUAUAUUGUUGGACGAUGUUGACGUAUAUUGUUGGACGAAGUUGACAUAUAUUGAUGGACAAAGUUGACGUAUAUUGUUGGACGAAGUUCAUACGUAUCUCAUGAUCCCAGAAACUAAAAAAGAAAAUCUAAAAGAUAAGUUAUUAUUAAUGUAUGUCUUAUAUACUAAACAUUGUAAAAAAAAAAAAAGGAAUUCAAUCUAUCAAA
Molecule: long non-coding RNA, 1375 nt
Organism: Hydra vulgaris (swiftwater hydra)
Lineage: Eukaryota; Metazoa; Cnidaria; Hydrozoa; Anthoathecata; Hydridae
Source: RefSeq, a predicted model, not a curated record